RNAcentral lists this long non-coding RNA (350 nucleotides) under Amborella trichopoda. RNAcentral describes it as "long non-coding RNA (ATRI_LNC003364)". Lineage: Eukaryota; Viridiplantae; Streptophyta; Magnoliopsida; Amborellales; Amborellaceae. The record is from RNAcentral.
CAGCUAUCUUGAGUAGUUGGUCCAGCUCUGGUGGAAUUUUCAAGUUUGCUGCAAUAACCUUGGAGCAGAGCAUGAGCCUUGGGAGCAGUUGUACAAGCCUUAUGUCAUCUUCACUAAGUCCGGGUACAACUGACAGCUCUACAACGAGAUGAGAAAGCUCAUGUGGCAUGUCACCUAGGAGCACAUAAGGAAUCCAAGGCAUCAUUACAGCUUUAAUCUCUUAAGCAUUUACGGCUAACUCCUUGUUUCCACUUCCAGAGGUUCCUUCGUUUGCUACCAAUGCUGAAGGAUACUUCCUUAUCGCUAGGAAACUAGCAAGCCUUGAGGAAGGAGAAGUUAUUUACGCCGAG